RNAcentral lists this ribosomal RNA (248 nucleotides) under uncultured bacterium. RNAcentral's name for it is "partial 16S ribosomal RNA". It matches the Rfam family "Bacterial small subunit ribosomal RNA", at positions 524 to 768 of the family's 1533-position model. The record is from RNAcentral.
UACGAAGGUGGCAAGCGUUGUUCGGAUUUACUGGGCGUACAGGGAGCGUAGGCGGUUGGAUAAGCCCUCCGUGAAAUCUCCAGGCUUAACCUGGAAAGUGCAGAGGGGACUGUUCAGCUAGAGGAUGGGAGAGGAGCGCGGAAUUCCCGGUGUAGCGGUGAAAUGCGUAGAGAGUCGGGAGGAAGGCCGGUGGCGAAGGCGGCGCUCUGGAACAUUUCUGACGGCUGAGGCUCGAAAAGCGUGGGGGA